This is a long non-coding RNA of Echinops telfairi (small Madagascar hedgehog), 516 nucleotides long. RefSeq lists it as uncharacterized. The transcript has 2 exons. NCBI's taxonomy places the organism in Eukaryota, Metazoa, Chordata, Mammalia, Afrosoricida, Tenrecidae. The record is from RefSeq and is a predicted model, not a curated record.
UCAGUGGAUUGCGGCCCCGAGGGGGUGGCUGUGCACUGGACUCGGGCCCCUGGAGGUGUGGAAGCCUACGAGCAGAAGGGAGCAGGGGCGCAGAGGUGGUUGAAGACGAAGCAGGUUGGCUGUGACCCCCAGGGCCUGUUCCAGUGCCAAGUGGACCCAGGGGACAGUGUGGCCAGCCUGUAUGUGGUCCCCAAAAACUCACCCUGCCCUGUGGCUGUGCAGCCGUCAGUAGCCCUGUGGACCGGGAGCUUCGUGCUGGCCCUGCUCGUCCUGGCGUUCCUAGGCCACCGUCUUCGAAGAUGCUGCCAGUCCCUGGACAGAGCACCACGCACACCAAUGUCUUUGUGCCUGUGAGACGCGGUUGGACCCUUCCCUGGCUUGGUUGUGACCACGGAACAUUUGCAUGGCCCUGUGCCCUGAUGGCCAAAGGCUAAUAUACACACACACACCCAGCAAGGCCCUGGAGCGCCCAUUCCAACAGUUCAGAGCUGGGGAAUAAAGGGCAUUUGGGAUGAG